This 301-nucleotide ribosomal RNA is filed under the name uncultured bacterium. Its description in RNAcentral is "partial 16S ribosomal RNA". It matches the Rfam family "Bacterial small subunit ribosomal RNA", at positions 509 to 807 of the family's 1533-position model. The record is from RNAcentral.
CAGCAGCCGCGGUAAUGCGUAGGGUGCAAGCGUUAACCGGAAUUACUGGGCGUAAAGCGUGCGCAGGCGGUUCUAUAAGACAGAUGUGAAAUCCCCGGGCUCAACCUGGGAACUGCAUUUGUGACUGUAGAGCUGGGGUGCGGCAGAGGGGGAUGGAAUUCCGCGUGUAGCAGUGAAAUGCGUAGAUAUGCGGAGGAACACCGAUGGCGAAGGCAAUCCCCUGGGCCUGCACUGACGCUCAUGCGCGAAAGCGUGGGGAGCGAACAGGAUUAGAUACCCCCGUAGUCCCUGUCUCUUAUAC